This 428-nucleotide ribosomal RNA is filed under the name Bacteroidota bacterium. RNAcentral describes it as "Bacteroidetes bacterium partial 16S ribosomal RNA". It matches the Rfam family "Bacterial small subunit ribosomal RNA", at positions 355 to 776 of the family's 1533-position model. Lineage: Bacteria; Pseudomonadati; Bacteroidota. The record is from RNAcentral.
UAGGGAAUCUUCCGCAAUGGACGCAAGUCUGACGGAGCAACGCCGCGUGAGUGAAGAAGGAUUUCGGUUCGUAAAACUCUGUUGUUAGAGAAGAACAGCGCAUAGAGUAACUGUUAUGCGUGUGACGGUAUCUAACCAGAAAGCCACGGCUAACUACGUGCCAGCAGCCGCGGUAAUACGUAGGUGGCAAGCGUUGUCCGGAUUUAUUGGGCGUAAAGCGAGCGCAGGCGGUUAGAAAAGUCUGAAGUGAAAGGCAGUGGCUCAACCAUUGUAGGCUUUGGAAACUGUUUAACUUGAGUGCAGAAGGGGAGAGUGGAAUUCCAUAUGUAGCGGUGAAGUGCAUAGAUAUAUGGAGGAACACCGGUGGCGAAAGCGGCUCUCUGGUCUGUAACUGACGCUGAGGCUCGAAAGCGUGGGGAGCGAACAGG